Molecule: ribosomal RNA, 468 nt
Filed under: uncultured bacterium
Lineage: Bacteria
Description: partial 16S ribosomal RNA
Rfam family: Bacterial small subunit ribosomal RNA
Source: RNAcentral
GACGAACGCUGGCGGCGUGCUUAACACAUGCAAGUCGAACGGAAAGGCCCUGCUUUUGUGGGGUGCUCGAGUGGCGAACGGGUGAGUAACGCGUGAGUAACCUGCCCUUGACUUUGGGAUAACUUCAGGAAACUGGGGCUAAUACCGGAUAGGAGCUCCUGCUGCAGGGUGGGGGUUGGAAAGUUUCGGCGGUUGGGGAUGGACUCGCGGCUUAUCAGCUUGUUGGUGGGGUAGUGGCUUACCAAGGCUUUGACGGGUAGCCGGCCUGAGAGGGUGACCGGCCACAUUGGGACUGAGAUACGGCCCAGACUCCUACGGGAGGCAGCAGUGGGGAAUAUUGCACAAUGGGCGGAAGCCUGAUGCAGCAACGCCGCGUGCGGGAUGACGGCCUUCGGGUUGUAAACCGCUUUCGCCUGUGACGAAGCGUGAGUGACGGUAAUGGGUAAAGAAGCACCGGCUAACUACGUG